RNAcentral lists this ribosomal RNA (451 nucleotides) under uncultured organism. Its description in RNAcentral is "partial 16S ribosomal RNA". It matches the Rfam family "Bacterial small subunit ribosomal RNA", at positions 333 to 800 of the family's 1533-position model. The record is from RNAcentral.
ACACUCCUGCGGGAGGCAACAGUGGGGAAUAUUGGACAAUGGGCGCAAGCCUGAUCCAGCCAUGCCGCGUGAGUGAUGAAGGCCCUAGGGUUGUAAAGCUCUUUCACCGGUGAAGAUAAUGACGGUAACCGGAGAAGAAGCCCCGGCUAACUUCGUGCCAGCAGCCGCGGUAAUACGAAGGGGGCUAGCGUUGUUCGGAUUUACUGGGCGUAAAGCGCACGUAGGCGGACUAUUAAGUCAGGGGUGGAAUCCCGGGGCUCAACCCCGGAACUGCCUUUGAUACUGGUAGUCUUGAGUUCGAGAGAGGUGAGUGGAAUUCCGAGUGUAGAGGUGAAAUUCGUAGAUAUUCGGAGGAACACCAGUGGCGAAGGCGGCUCACUGGCUCGAUACUGACGCUGAGGUGCGAAAGCGUGGGGAGCAAACAGGAUUAGAAACCCGAGUAGUCCCAUGA